AUGGCUAAGACUCUCCGCUCCCAAUGCAGGGGGCCGAGGUUCAAUCCCCGGUCAGGGAACUAGACACACAUGCUGCAACUAAGACCUGGCAUAGCCAAAUAAGUAUUUUUCUUCCUGGAGUCGGGUUGCUUGGGAAUGCAGCCCAAAGUGGGUGGUAAACUCCAUCUAAGGCUAAAUACUGGCCCGAGACCGAUAAUCAACAAGUACCGUAAGG
This 214-nucleotide non-coding RNA is filed under the name Ovis aries (sheep). RNAcentral's name for it is "Eukaryotic large subunit ribosomal RNA". The stretch from base 91 to 214 matches the Rfam family "Eukaryotic large subunit ribosomal RNA", at positions 104 to 358 of the family's 3401-position model. Lineage: Eukaryota; Metazoa; Chordata; Mammalia; Artiodactyla; Bovidae. The record is from Rfam by way of RNAcentral.